This 253-nucleotide ribosomal RNA is filed under the name uncultured bacterium. RNAcentral's name for it is "partial 16S ribosomal RNA". It matches the Rfam family "Bacterial small subunit ribosomal RNA", at positions 524 to 776 of the family's 1533-position model. The record is from RNAcentral.
UACGGAGGGUGCAAGCGUUAUCCGGAUUCACUGGGUUUAAAGGGUGCGUAGGUGGGUCUGUAAGUCAGUGGUGAAAUCUCCAAGCUUAACUUGGAACUGCCGUUGAUACUAUAGACCUUGAAUGCUGUGGAGGUGAGCGGAAUAUGUCAUGUAGCGGUGAAAUGCUUAGAUAUGACAUAGAACACCAAAUUGCGAAGGCAGCUCACUACCCAGAUAUUGACACUGAGGCACGAAAGCGUGGGGAUCAAACAGG